UUAGAGGAAGUAAAAGUCGUAACAAGGUUUCCGUAGGUGAACCUGCGGAAGGAUCAUUAUCGUAUUAACGGAGGUGCCGGUUGGCUGUCGCUGACUUUUUGGUCGUGCACGCCCCCGGUGCUCUCUCUCAAUCCAUCUCACCCCUUUGUGCAUCACCGCGUGGGCUUCCUCCCUUUCGAGGGGGGUGGUUUGCGUUUUUACACAAACACACCGCAUGCGUAGAAUGUCUUACUUUUUUGCGAUAACACGCAAUCAAUACAACUUUCAACAACGGAUCUCUUGGCUCUCGCAUCGAUGAAGAACGCAGCGAAAUGCGAUACGUAAUGUGAAUUGCAGAAUUCAGUGAAUCAUCGAAUCUUUGAACGCACCUUGCGCCCCUUGGCAUUCCGAGGGGCACACCCGUUUGAGUGUCGUGAACAUCCUUCAACCUUCUUGGUUUUUCGACCAAGGAAGGCUUGGACUUUGGGGGUCUUUCAUUGCUGGCUUGAAGCCAGCUCCUCCUAAAUGGAUUAGUGGGGUCUGCUUUGCCGAUCCUUGACGUGAUAAGAUGUUUCUACGUCUUGGGUUUUCGCACUGUCGAUUAGGACCUCGCUUCUAACCGUCUCACAUCUGAGACAGUGUUUUAUGAACCUUGACCUCAAAUCGGGUGAGACUACCCGCUGAACUUAAGCAUAUCAAUAAGCGGAGGAA
RNAcentral lists this ribosomal RNA (690 nucleotides) under Russula sp. Its description in RNAcentral is "eukaryotic LSU rRNA". The stretch from base 260 to 413 matches the Rfam family "5.8S ribosomal RNA". The record is from RNAcentral. Lineage: Eukaryota; Fungi; Basidiomycota; Agaricomycetes; Russulales; Russulaceae.